This 733-nucleotide ribosomal RNA is filed under the name uncultured bacterium. RNAcentral's name for it is "bacterial SSU rRNA". It matches the Rfam family "Bacterial small subunit ribosomal RNA", at positions 51 to 776 of the family's 1533-position model. The record is from RNAcentral.
ACACAUGCAAGUCGAGGGGCAGCACAGGGUAGCAAUACUUGGGUGGCGACCGGCGCACGGGUGAGUAACGCGUAUGCAACUUACCUAUCAGAGGGGGAUAGCCCGGCGAAAGUCGGAUUAAUACCCCAUGAAACAGGGGUCCCGCAUGGGAAUAUUUGUUAAAGAUUCAUCGCUGAUAGAUAGGCAUGCGUUCCAUUAGGCAGUUGGCGGGGUAACGGCCCACCAAACCGACGAUGGAUAGGGGUUCUGAGAGGAAGGUCCCCCGCAUUCGUACUGAGACACGGACCAAACUCCUACGGGAGGCAGCAGUGAGGAAUAUUGGUCAAUGGCCGAGAGGCUGAACCAGCCAAGUCGCGUGAAGGAAGAAGGAUCUAUGGUUUGUAAACUUCUUUUAUAGGGGAAUAAAGUGGAGGACGUGUCCUUUUUUGUAUGUACCCUAUGAAUAAGCAUCGGCUAACUCCGUGCCAGCAGCCGCGGUAAUACGGAGGAUGCGAGCGUUAUCCGGAUUUAUUGGGUUUAAAGGGUGCGUAGGUGGUGAUUUAAGUCAGCGGUGAAAGUUUGUGGCUCAACCAUAAAAUUGCCGUUGAAACUGGGUUACUUGAGUGUGUUUGAGGUAGGCGGAAUGCGUGGUGUAGCGGUGAAAUGCAUAGAUAUCACGCAGAACUCCGAUUGCGAAGGCAGCUUACUAAACCAUAACUGACACUGAAGCACGAAAGCGUGGGGAUCAAACAGG